GUGAUUCCCUCAGUCAGCGGCGAGCGAAGAGGGACCGAACCCGAUGCCGAAUCGGACCUUAACGGUCUUGAGUUGUGGCACAAGCGGUGUUUCGUGGUUGGUGCGGGAUCAGCAAAAUUCAAUUCGGCAAAGCAAACCCAGCUGAAAACAACCCUUCAUGUGAGUAUUGAGCCAUAGAAGGUGGUAGCCCAUUGAGCUGAGAACCCUAGCGCCUCAUUAAACACUUCAAGAGAGUAGCACUGUUUGGGAAUGCAGUGUCAAGCGGCAGGUAUUUGUCUGCCAAGGUUAAACACAGAGUAGGAAGACCGAUAUCGAACAAGUAGCGUGAGCGAAAGUUUGAAAAGCACUUUGGAGAGAGAGUGACAUAGAACCUGAAGUCGCGACAAUGACAAUGGAAGUACCUCCAUUUCAUUGGCCAAAACCCACCUGACAGCAUUCGAUUUCGGGCGCUACUUUGGUGGCGUUCCGUAACAAGUGCCGAAAACCGGGGUGUGGUGAAAUGAGCGAAGAGAAAGAGUUCAACACUGGUUUACCAGCGAGGGUUCUCUUCUUCGUGAUGCUCAAUGUU
RNAcentral lists this ribosomal RNA (568 nucleotides) under Dictyuchus sp. 2 HM-2018. RNAcentral's name for it is "LSU rRNA". It matches the Rfam family "Eukaryotic large subunit ribosomal RNA", at positions 71 to 578 of the family's 3401-position model. Lineage: Eukaryota; Oomycota; Saprolegniomycetes; Saprolegniales; Achlyaceae. The record is from RNAcentral.